This 450-nucleotide ribosomal RNA is filed under the name Triticum aestivum (bread wheat). Its description in RNAcentral is "partial small subunit ribosomal RNA". Lineage: Eukaryota; Viridiplantae; Streptophyta; Magnoliopsida; Poales; Poaceae. The record is from RNAcentral.
AUGCUUCCUUAUGAGAUCUUUGCUGCUACUUUCCAUUGUGUUAUAGCAUCAAUUCAGCUAGACUUGAAAAAGUAUUUGCUUGGACAUGAUCAUACAUACAUUGUUGGUGGCAUUGCUCUCAUUCCUGAUGAUGACACUUAUUUUCCUUAUGCUAGUCCUAUGCUUAAUGAAACAUAUUAUUCCCAUGCUAGUCUUGAGCUUAAUGAUAAAUUUCAUCCUCAUGUUAGUGUCGACCUUGCUGAUUUCUACCAUCCUAAACAUGUGCUUUAUAGCUAUGCUUAUGUAAUUGGAUAUUCGAUUGAUGACUUGGAGGGUAUUAUCCCUACCACUUGCAUUGUCUCUUUCGUUGAAUGCUCUUUCAGGUUUUUGCUUGUGCACGAUCCAUUACAUGCUGACCAGGUUCGAGGUGACAUUCCUUGGGACCCUGGUGGGCUCAGAGCAUGGGGAUGA